GAUGAACGCUGGCGGCGUGCCUAAUACAUGCAAGUCGAGCGAACGGACGAGAAGCUUGCUUCUCUGAUGUUAGCGGCGGACGGGUGAGUAACACGUGGAUAACCUACCUAUAAGACUGGGAUCACUUCGGGAAACCGGAGCUAAUACCGGAUAAUAUUUUGAACCGCAUGGUUCAAAAGUGAAAGACGGUCUUGCUGUCACUUAUAGAUGGAUCCGCGCUGCAUUAGCUAGUUGGUAAGGUAACGGCUUACCAAGGCAACGAUGCAUAGCCGACCUGAGAGGGUGAUCGGCCACACUGGAACUGAGACACGGUCCAGACUCCUACGGGAGGCAGCAGUAGGGAAGCUUCCGCAAUGGGCGAAAGCCUGACGGAGCAACGCCGCGUGAGUGAUGAAGGUCUUCGGAUCGUAAAACUCUGUUAUUAGGGAAGAACAUAUGUGUAAGUAACUGUGCACAUCUUGACGGUACCUAAUCAGAAAGCCACGGCUAACUACGUG
RNAcentral lists this ribosomal RNA (497 nucleotides) under uncultured bacterium. RNAcentral describes it as "partial 16S ribosomal RNA". It matches the Rfam family "Bacterial small subunit ribosomal RNA", at positions 28 to 507 of the family's 1533-position model. The record is from RNAcentral.